This 377-nucleotide ribosomal RNA is filed under the name uncultured Glomeromycotina. RNAcentral's name for it is "LSU rRNA". Lineage: Eukaryota; Fungi; Glomeromycota. The record is from RNAcentral.
UUGAAAGGGAAACGAUUGAAGUCAGUCGUACCAGCGGGAAAUCAACCUUUCGAGUGGGGGUUUUGGAGUUUUUUGAAGAGUGUCAAAACCUUUGAGAUUUCAAAAUAUUCGCUCUUUUGGUGUACUUUCUCGUGGGUAGGUUAACAUCGAUUUUGAUCAUCAUAAAAAGAUUGGAGGAAUGUAGCUUCGAUCUUGUAUUGAAGUGUUAUAGCCAUUGGUAAAUGUGAUGAUUAGGAUCGAGGAUUGCAACGAAUACCCUUUUGGGCUAUCCGCCUGAUCUCUGAUACGUGGCCUUGGUAUCGAAAGCGUGCUUAUGGUAUUGAGGUAUUACGGUCAAAAGGUUAGAACGGAUUACAUUCGUUAAGGAUGUUGACGUA